RNAcentral lists this ribosomal RNA (465 nucleotides) under uncultured bacterium. RNAcentral describes it as "partial 16S ribosomal RNA". It matches the Rfam family "Bacterial small subunit ribosomal RNA", at positions 28 to 507 of the family's 1533-position model. The record is from RNAcentral.
GAUGAACGCUGGCGGCGUGCUUAACACAUGCAAGUCGAACGAUGAAGCCCAGCUUGCUGGGUGGAUUAGUGGCGAACGGGUGAGUAACACGUGAGUAACCUGCCCUUAACUCUGGGAUAAGCCUGGGAAACUGGUCUAAUACCGGAUAGGAGCGUCCACCGCAUGGUGGGUGUUGGAAAGAUUUAUCGGUUUUGGAUGGACUCGCGGCCUAUCAGCUUGUUGGUGAGGUAAUGGCUCACCAAGGCGACGACGGGUAGCCGGCCUGAGAGGGUGACCGGCCACACUGGGACUGAGACACGGCCCAGACUCCUACGGGAGGCAGCAGUGGGGAAUAUUGCACCCUGGGCGAAAGCCUGAUGCAGCGACGCCGCGUGAGGGAUGACGGCCUUCGGGUUGUAAACCUCUUUCAGUAGGGAAGAAGCGAAAGUGACGGUACCUGCAGAAGAAGCACCGGCUAACUACGUG